RNAcentral lists this unclassified non-coding RNA (395 nucleotides) under soil metagenome. Its description in RNAcentral is "partial contains 5.8S ribosomal RNA, internal transcribed spacer 2, and large subunit ribosomal RNA". The stretch from base 1 to 122 matches the Rfam family "5.8S ribosomal RNA", at positions 35 to 154 of the family's 154-position model. The record is from RNAcentral.
GAUGAAGAACGUAGCGAAAUGCGAUACUUGGUGUGAAUUGCAGAAUCCCGUGAACCAUCGAGUCUUUGAACGCAAGUUGCGCCCGAAGCCAUCAGGUUGAGGGCACGUCUGCCUGGGCGUCACAUAUCGUUGCCCAAUGCCUAUUGCAGUGCAAUAGGAAUUUCUAGGGCGAAUGAUGGCUUCCCGUGAGCGUUGUUGCCUCGCGGUUGGUUGAAAAUCGAGUCCUUGGUAGGGUGUGCCAUGGUAGAUGGUGGUCGAGUUACAACGAUACCGAUCAUGUGCAUGCUCCCCAAAAUAUGGCCUCUAUGACCCACACGCGUCUUUUGACGCUCAUGACGAGACCUCAGGUCAGGCGGGGCUACCCGCUGAAUUUAAGCAUAUCAAUAAGCGGAGGA